This 393-nucleotide ribosomal RNA is filed under the name uncultured bacterium. RNAcentral describes it as "partial 16S ribosomal RNA". It matches the Rfam family "Bacterial small subunit ribosomal RNA", at positions 523 to 918 of the family's 1533-position model. The record is from RNAcentral.
AUACGGAGGAUCCGAGCGUUAUCCGGAUUUAUUGGGUUUAAAGGGUGCGUAGGUGGGCCUGUAAGUCAGUGGUGAAAGUUUGCAGCUUAACUGUAAAAUUGCCGUUGAAACUGCCGGUCUUGAGUGCAAAUGAGGUAAGCGGAAUGUGUUGUGUAGCGGUGAAAUGCUUAGAUAUGACACAGAACACCGAUUGCGAAGGCAGCUUACUGGGAUGCCACUGACGCUCAUGCACGAAGGCGUGGGGAUCAAACAGGAUUAGAUACCCUGGUAGUCCACGCAGUAAACGAUGAUUACUAGCUGUUUGCGAUACAAUGUAAGCGGCUGAGCGAAAGCGUUAAGUAAUCCACCUGGGGAGUACGUUCGCAAGAAUGAAACUCAAAUGAAUUGACGGGG